Molecule: transfer RNA, 57 nt
Filed under: Linguatula serrata
Lineage: Eukaryota; Metazoa; Arthropoda; Ichthyostraca; Porocephalida; Linguatulidae
Description: tRNA-Trp
Source: RNAcentral
CUUUAAGUUAUAUAAACUAUCAACCUUCAAAGCUGAAAAAAUAAUACUAUAAGUCUU